AUUGAACGCUGGCGGCAUGCUUUACACAUGCAAGUCGGACGGCAGCACAGAGAAGCUUGCUUCUUGGGUGGCGAGUGGCGAACGGGUGAGUAAUAUAUCGGAACGUACCGAGUAAUGGGGGAUAACUAAUCGAAAGAUUAGCUAAUACCGCAUAUUCUCUGAGGAGGAAAGCAGGGGACCUUCGGGCCUUGCGUUAUUCGAGCGGCCGAUAUCUGAUUAGCUAGUUGGUGGGGUAAAGGCCUACCAAGGCGACGAUCAGUAGCGGGUCUGAGAGGAUGAUACGCCACACUGGGACUGAGACACGGCCCAGACUCCUACGGGAGGCAGCAGUGGGGAAUUUUGGACAAUGGGCGCAAGCCUGAUCCAGCCAUGCCGCGUGUCUGAAGAAGGCCUUCGGGUUGUAAAGGACUUUUGUCAGGGAAGAAAAGGCUGUUGCUAAUAUCGACAGCUGAUGACGGUACCUGAAGAAUAAGCACCGGCUAACUACGUG
Molecule: ribosomal RNA, 490 nt
Filed under: uncultured bacterium
Lineage: Bacteria
Description: partial 16S ribosomal RNA
Rfam family: Bacterial small subunit ribosomal RNA
Source: RNAcentral